AGGACGAACGCUGGCGGCGUGCCUAACACAUGCAAGUGGAGCGACGAACCAGGCUUCGGCCUGGGGCAAAGCCGCGAACGGGUGAGUAACACGUGGGUAACCUGCCUCGAUGAUUGGGACAACCCGAGGAAACUCGGGCUAAUACCGAAUGUGCCCUCCGGCCAUAAGGCUGCUGGGGAAAGAAGCUUCGGCCUCCGCAUCGAGAUGGGCCCGCGGCCCAUUAGCUUGUUGGUGAGGUAACGGCUCACCAAGGCGACGAUGGGUAGCUGGUCUGAGAGGACGAUCAGCCACACUGGGACUGAGACACGGCCCAGACUCCUACGGGUGGCAGCAGUUUCGAAUCAUUCACAAUGGGC
RNAcentral lists this ribosomal RNA (356 nucleotides) under uncultured bacterium. RNAcentral's name for it is "SSU rRNA". It matches the Rfam family "Bacterial small subunit ribosomal RNA", at positions 26 to 376 of the family's 1533-position model. The record is from RNAcentral.